UACAGAGGGUGCGAGCGUUAAUCGGAAUUACUGGGCGUAAAGGGUGCGUAGGCGGUUGUUUAAGUCUGUCGUGAAAUCCCCGGGCUCAACCUGGGAAUGGCGAUGGAUACUGGGCAGCUAGAGUGUGUCAGAGGAUGGUGGAAUUCCCGGUGUAGCGGUGAAAUGCGUAGAGAUCGGGAGGAACAUCAGUGGCGAAGGCGGCCAUCUGGGACAACACUGACGCUGAAGCACGAAAGCGUGGGGAGCAAACAGG
RNAcentral lists this ribosomal RNA (253 nucleotides) under uncultured bacterium. Its description in RNAcentral is "partial 16S ribosomal RNA". It matches the Rfam family "Bacterial small subunit ribosomal RNA", at positions 524 to 776 of the family's 1533-position model. The record is from RNAcentral.